UGAAACUGAGAGUCUUGAGGGCAGGAGAGGAAAGCAGAAUUCCUGGUGUAGCGGUGAAAUGCGUAGAAAUCAGGAGGAAUACCAGUGGCGAAGGCGGCUUUCUGGACUGCCCCUGACGCUG
RNAcentral lists this ribosomal RNA (121 nucleotides) under uncultured bacterium. RNAcentral's name for it is "partial 16S ribosomal RNA". It matches the Rfam family "Bacterial small subunit ribosomal RNA", at positions 628 to 748 of the family's 1533-position model. The record is from RNAcentral.